UAAAAAUUAUUAGUUUUAAUAGAUCAUAUGCAAAAUGUCGGACAAAUAAGUAUGCAUACAGUACUACUAGUGAUUUAAAAUAAGGGCGUAAUGUGAUUUUUUUCAAAUUCGAUGCACCUUAUUGGUCAAAGAAUGGCGUUGUUUGUAGAUCUUCACGAAGGGAAAUGGGGAAGAAAUCGAAAGAGUUAAAAGAUUUUCUGAGCUGUUGAAACAAACUGAUAGAAAUUAGAAACCAGUAAAUUCCCACUUGGCGUCAGCUUUCGGCAGCUGUAUUUAGGUAGCAGUAUGGGUUGGGUGAUGUUACGUUUUGGUUGUGCCAUUCUGAACUAAGUAGGAUUUGUCUGUAACUAACCUCUGACAAUAACUUCUCUUUGCUUGAUCUUUAUAAAUUCUGAUGAAACACCUAUGCAGUACGAUGAAGGUGCCCAGCGUACAGACAACCACACUACGAAGGCACGCCAAGAAGGUUGGAGAAAUACCUUAUAAAGUCAUGUGCCAUUAACUUAGCUUGUUAAAACAUUUGAUAGAUUUUCUAUUUUAAUAUUUAAGAUUCAUAUAAUUAAAUGUUUUAAAAAGGACAGCUUUUAAAGAAUCUGUAAUGAGAAAAUAACUUUUCUGCUUUAGCAUUGCAUUAUUAAAAAAAAAAAAAAAAAAAAAGACAAGACUUCAAGAAAAUUUUGUAUAUAAAAGUUUUAAAUUACAAGGUCUUUCAUUCAAGUAAUUUGUAAAAUUAUGGACUAAAUUCAGGUUAUUACUUUUUGUAGUGAUGUACUAUUUUACAAGCUGUUGUUUUCAAAAUGUCUUCAAUGUGAGAUAAUGGAGUGACGUACUAUACACUAUUUUGCGGAUAUGAAUGCAAUUUUGUAUUUGAGUAUUUUAGAAAACUGUGGAUAAUUAGAUAAUUUUAAGUAUCCGCUAACAAAAUUACUUUUGUCUAAUUGUAAUAUUUUAAGAAGCUAUAGAAUUUUUGUUAUGAAUUGCUGACAUAUUUCAAACUGUUACUCUGAAAUCACAUACAAGUAAUUUAAUUCUUGUUUACUCAAAUUUAUGCUGUUUUUAUUCAUGUUCAGUAUUAUUGCUCUAUUAAUAACAGUAUAAUAAAAUAUUAUAAAAAGGG
Molecule: long non-coding RNA, 1117 nt
Organism: Stegodyphus dumicola
Lineage: Eukaryota; Metazoa; Arthropoda; Arachnida; Araneae; Eresidae
Source: RefSeq, a predicted model, not a curated record